Molecule: long non-coding RNA, 2393 nt
Organism: Papaver somniferum (opium poppy)
Lineage: Eukaryota; Viridiplantae; Streptophyta; Magnoliopsida; Ranunculales; Papaveraceae
Exons: 5
Source: RefSeq, a predicted model, not a curated record
CUUAUCUCUCUCUUCCCUCUCUCUCUCCCUUUCUCCCUGUAUCGCUACUUGCCCCCUGCUGUACCUGUGAAUACCGACCAUUAACAUUGAAAUCAUUCUUCCCCCUUUCUAAUAUCACCAUCAUCGAAGUAUCUUUCUGUCUGUAGAGCCCCAAAAGCAAAACCUAAUGGUCGUUGCAGCUGGUCCGAUCUCCUUGAUGUCUGUAAGAAGAGGAAAUUUAGAAAUUAUCAUGGGUUUUCAUUAUUGAGAGUUAAGAAGAGGAAUUUGAAAUUGAUUCUCAAAUUACAGCGAAGGAAUUAGAGGAUUAGGUUUCGUUUUACGUCUAAGAUUAAGAAGCUAAUUGAGAAAACUAGGGUUUUGUUUGUGCUACAAAUCGAAGAAUUAAACGGAAUCAAUAAAUGGGUUUGUUUUAAUUAGGUUUAGAAUUGGUUUAUUAAUGGAUUCGAGUUUUACGGAUUAGGGUUUCUAACAGAUUGGGGAUUUAGGGUUCAUGGAUUUGAAUUACAGAUGAAAAAGAUGAAACUGAUGGUGAGAAAUUAUAAGAAGAAAAUUGAGUUUGUGUCUGAGGAAAAUUUUUUUAGAGGAGGAUAAUUGUUGCAGGUGGUGGUGGUUUAAUGAGCUACAGAACUAUGAAGAUUGUAAUGGUGAUGGAAUUGAAAUAAUAGUUCGGUUGAUGUGGUCUUGAAUGAGCUACAAGAGUUGAUCUUAGUUUGGUUUAGAUUGUAAUGAUUUGAAUGGUGAUGGAUGAAUAUUGGUUGUGCUGAGAUGCUUUUGAUGAUGAUGCUAUGGUCAGUCAUAAUAGUUGCGACUGAAAGAUAUUGAAAUGAAUAAUGUUGCUGGUAUGAAGAUGGUGGUUUAAACGUCUAUGUGGCUGAAUGAUAGUGAUGUGAAGGAAUGACGCUAAUCUGAAGAGAUUUGAAAUGUUCAUAAAUUUUAGGUCAAGGUAUGCUAGGUUUUGGAUGGUUUAUGUUUACUCUAAAUUUAUCUGCAAUAAUAUUAAUGCUUGAACUCAUUGUCGUUUGCUUUUCAAAUCACAUAUCUUGAAACAUGAGUGGCCAGCUAGGUGGUGAAAUUUUAUUCCGGAUCUUGUUUCAGUAGCGAAGACAAGUGAAACAAUAUGUUAGAAUUUCAUGGCUGUAUUAAAGCUUCUCAGUGAAGAGAUGUUGGACUUUCCACCUGGUGAAAUGAUUCAGCAGAAGAUCAAAGAGCUAAAAUAAUCAUUGAAUAGUUUUGAUGGCAUUGCUAUUCUCAUUCUCUUGUAUUUAUUGACUAAUACAUUUGCGUGACUAAUAUAUCAUUUGUUGUACCCUUGUAGGUGGUGGUGUUCAGUUCAUGUAGUAAACAUGCUUAUAUUUCCCAGCAACUGAAGACUGAGAGCAUCACUAGUCAGCUCUGCCUUCUUCACCGGGCUUAGCAGAAGCACAUGGUCUGCAGUUUGAAGCUAGGUCCAGGACCCAGCUGUGGCUGGAGCAUCAAUAUAAGCCUUUCUUUCAAAUCUUAGAAAAGAUUUAUCGCUUCUUCCUCUUAUACAAAGGUCAAGAAAUCUGGCAUGAGUUAUUUCUUGUCUCUGUGAAUGCUUUCAAAUUGCUUGCAGGAUUUAAUGUUGAGUCUGUUGAAUACAAGAACAUUAGCUUCACUGUCUGGCAUGUUGGGGUCAAGAAAUAUAUGAAUUUUGCUACAUUUUUUGUUUUCUGUUCUUUUUUGCAUUUUAUGUUGUUACAAAGGUAAUUAGUAAUAUCAUUUCUUUUAAAGAUCCCUCCAUUGUAGAGACACUACUUCCAAAACACAUAAGGUCUUACUUUCAUAGUUGAAAGUAAUGACAAAGACCGUGUUAUUGAGGCAAGGGAUGAACUGCAGACGAAGUUUAGUGAGGUUUCCUUGUGGUUUUUGUUUGCCAGCAAACAUAUUUCAUCUCCUAGUUUCCCUGUGCAUAUCUUGUCUGGUGCAAUCCUAGUCCUAGGAAAAUGAGUGCAUCUCCUUGUCGUGCUUUAUUGCAGGCUUUUGUGAAGUUUGUCUAACCGAUAGAAGUGGCAUUUGCUUACUUCAGUUAGUGUUUUUAUCACCUUGCUUGGUGCUGACUUCACGAGAAUGGAAUCUUUCGGCAAAGUUGAAGAGGUUGCGGAGACUCUGGUAAGUAGUAGUGAUUUUUUGCUUUAAAUGAAGUUUCCUCGCUCGUUUGAUAUUGGACUUUUGUUAUUCUUAUUUGAUAAGUCGAAAUCUAUUUGAUGAACAGGUUAGUAAACUAGAUAGAAGUUGGAAAAAGGGCAUUGUUGUGAUUUUCAAUUGAGUUGUAGUAGUAGGUUCGUUGAGACUUGUGAAAGCAAUAGAUUUUAGACUUAAUUUUAAAGCAAAGAAAAUAAAGCAAAUAAAUGUUGAUAUGUUGUAAAAAUUAU